This 1738-nucleotide long non-coding RNA is filed under the name Setaria viridis. Its description in RNAcentral is "long non-coding RNA (SVIR_LNC002475)". Lineage: Eukaryota; Viridiplantae; Streptophyta; Magnoliopsida; Poales; Poaceae. The record is from RNAcentral.
CGACCGCAAGCUGUGCAGCCUGCUGGAUGAGUACACCAAGGUGCUCAUCGCCCUCGCCGACAACGUCGGCUCCAAGCAGCUCCAGGACAUCCGCCGCGGGCUGAGGGGCGACUCAGUGGUGCUCAUGGGGAAGAACACGCUCAUCAGGCGCUGCAUCAAGGCUUACGCUGACAAGACGGGGAACCACACCUUCGACCCGCUCAUGGACCUCCUCGUCGGCAACGUUGGCCUCAUCUUCACCAAGGGUGACCUCAAGGAGGUCCGCGAGGAGGUCGCCAAGUACAAGGUGAAUUUCUGUUUCCUCGCAUUUACCUUUUUGCUCACGUCAGCAAGUGUUUUUGGACUAAAUUGUGAAUUCUAGAUGACUAAGUUUGGUAACUUGCGAGUGCAAUCUGAGUGUCAUGAAUAUGAAUUGUAUAGUUCACAAACUGAAUUAAUGGCUCUGAAUGCAGUUUCUGUCCCAUGUGUGCAAUGCAUAUAGUAGAUUUGAAAUCACAAUUGAGAUGUCAGUUAUAACAUUGGAAGUUGCUUAGGUCACCUGAUUGUUUUUUGGUGUGUUGCACCUAUUUUAUAUUGAUUACAUAACACCAUGUGUUGUUACCGUUUUCUGUUCAGUUAUGACGCAUGACUGCAAGUAGCAGUUUGAUUGUAGGAAGCAUGGCUGCUGAUUACAAUGUGACUGUCCUGAACAUUGAAUUUUAGUUUCAGAUUCAAUUUUUUGUGAAAUUUUGGGAAUUUUAGUUUCAGGAUAUUAUUUCAAGUUUUGGUAAUAAUAUGAAUUCUUUGAGAUUUUGGUUGUUAGUUGCUUUGGAUUACCUACUGGGGCUAAGUGUAAAAUUUUAACUGUGUAAAAUCUGAUUGGCUCAGUGGCUGAUGUUGUCUUUGGUGGAACCCAUCACCAAAUGGAUACAAAUCAUAUUGAUCACUGUUGUUACAAUUAAAAUCUCAAGUGGAGUCAUGUCAAUGAAGAUUGGUGUCUUGUUACAUAGUUUUGUGAUGUUUGUAAUUCUGUGUUAGUAUCAAGUCUUUUUGUUGAUGUUUUUGCAUGGUCGUACUUCUGUCAGUAUUUUUAUUGCAGCAGAUGCACUAUAGAUUUGUUGAGCUGAAGUUUAUUUAGAGCACAUGUUAUCUAUAUACUAAUGUCAAAUCUGUUUUUUCCCCAAAACAGGUUGGUGCUCCUGCUCGUGUUGGGCUGGUUGCUCCCGUUGAUGUUGUUGUCCCCCCUGGCAACACUGGUCUGGAUCCCUCCCAGACCUCUUUCUUCCAGGUGAGUUAUAAUUGGCAGUACAUCUCUUAUAACAGUUAUCAGCACAGCAUCAUACUCACACCUAUCGCUUGUUUCAGGUGCUCAACAUCCCCACCAAGAUUAACAAGGGUACUGUGGAAAUUAUCACCCCUGUGGAGCUGAUCAAGAAGGGUGACAAAGUGGGCUCAUCCGAGUCUGCCCUUCUUGCCAAGCUGGGUAUCCGCCCUUUCUCAUAUGGUCUUCAGGUCAUCAAUGUCUAUGAGGAUGGGUCAGUCUUCAGCCCUGAGGUGCUUGACCUGACUGAGGAGGACCUCAUUGAGAAGUUUGCCACUGGUGUCUCCAUGGUUGCCUCUCUGUCCCUGGCGCUCUCGUACCCAACCCUUGCUGCCGCGCCCCACAUGUUCAUCAAUGGGUACAAGAAUGUGCUUGCUGUUGCUGUGGAGACAGACUACUCGUACCCGCAUGCUGACAAGAUCAAGGAGUACCUCAAGG